RNAcentral lists this ribosomal RNA (458 nucleotides) under uncultured bacterium. RNAcentral describes it as "bacterial SSU rRNA". It matches the Rfam family "Bacterial small subunit ribosomal RNA", at positions 339 to 794 of the family's 1533-position model. The record is from RNAcentral.
CUACGGGAGGCAGCAGUGAGGAAUAUUGGACAAUGGGCGCAAGCCUGAUCCAGCCAUGCCGCGUGCAGGAAGAAGGUCCUAUGGAUUGUAAACUGCUUUUAUACAGGAAGAAACACCUCUACGUGUAGAGACUUGACGGUACUGUAUGAAUAAGGACCGGCUAACUCCGUGCCAGCAGCCGCGGUAAUACGGAGGGUCCAAGCGUUAUCCGGAAUCAUUGGGUUUAAAGGGUCCGUAGGCGGUUUAAUAAGUCAGUGGUGAAAGCCCAUCGCUCAACGAUGGAACGGCCAUUGAUACUGUUAAACUUGAAUUAUUAGGAAGUAACUAGAAUAUGUAGUGUAGCGGUGAAAUGCUUAGAGAUUACAUGGAAUACCAAUUGCGAAGGCAGGUUACUACUAAUAUAUUGACGCUGAUGGACGAAAGCGUGGGGAGCGAACAGGAUUAGAUACCCUGGUAGU